Long non-coding RNA from Siniperca chuatsi (mandarin fish), 952 nucleotides. RefSeq lists it as uncharacterized. The transcript is spliced from 3 exons. NCBI's taxonomy places the organism in Eukaryota, Metazoa, Chordata, Actinopteri, Centrarchiformes, Sinipercidae. The record is from RefSeq and is a predicted model, not a curated record.
UGAAAGUACUCAUUCUGCAGAAAAAUGUUCCCUGUCAGCGUUUUACUAUUAUAUGUUGUGUUUUUUGGAUUAUUAUUUUACUGCUGUAGUUGUUUAUGGUUGAGCUAAUUUUAACUAUUUAUAUACCUGUGGGUAAUGUGUUUAUAGUAUCUCUAACAAGUCAACUUUUCAUGAGCUCAGAUAAACAGCCCUGUUUUCAGCUUUGUGACAAUGUAUUUUCCAGCUAAUCCAAGUUGCAUAAAAGGUAUAUACUCAAGUAAAGUACAAGUACCUCAAAAUUGUAUUUAAGUAUAGUACUUGAGUAAAUGUACUUAGUGACAUUCCACCACUGCAGCUGAAGCAGUGUAUUACUGCUCACCAAUAACAAUGUAAAAAUACUCACUUACAAGUCUUGCAUUCCCAACUCUUUGGGCCACGAACAGUUAACUUAAUGCAACCAUCUGAGAAGUUUGGAGGCUAGAUAAUUAUUUGGUGGAACUGCUAAUAACAGCCAGUGGUGGAGGGUAACCGAGGAUGAUAUGUACUGUAUUUAUUUUUUGAGGAAUUUGUACUUUACCGAGUACUUCUGUUUUACUUUAUUGUCAAGCUGCGACCAGAGUUGUGGCCCCGCUGCAGCUGAAGCAGUGUAACAGGGACUUGGAUCUGAUGUUGUAGUUGAGAAAAGCUGCAGCACAUCCGAUCUUCACCAAACCCAACCACAGCCACAGAAACAUGGGCUCAUUUCCGAGGAACAGCGCAACCGUGUCGCCUUCUUUAACAAGUCCACUCUGCAGGAAAACUCUUGCAGCUUUGUUACUGAGAUCAUCAGCGUCCUUGUAGAAAGGACUGUCGAAGCCGCUGUCCUGCUGUCGCUGUCUCAACUCAGAGAACAGAGGCCUGGAACAAACUCCAUGCUGCUUCUCACCCUCAGAGCCAGGGGUGGGCUCUCUGUGUGUACUCAUCUUCGCAUGGU